AGAGUUUGAUCAUGGCUCAGAACGAACGCUGGCGGCAGGCUUAACACAUGCAAGUCGAACGCAUCCUUCGGGGUGAGUGGCAGACGGGUGAGUAACGCGUGGGAACGUGCCCUUCAGUUCGGAAUAACCCAGGGAAACUUGGGCUAAUACCGGAUACGCCCGAAAGGGGAAAGAUUGAUCGCUGAAGGAUCGGCCCGCGUCUGAUUAGCUAGUUGGUGGGGUAAUGGCCCACCAAGGCGACGAUCAGUAGCUGGUCUGAGAGGAUGAUCAGCCACAUUGGGACUGAGACACGGCCCAAACUCCUACGGGAGGCAGCAGUGGGGAAUAUUGGACAAUGGGCGCAAGCCUGAUCCAGCCAUGCCGCGUGAGUGAUGAAGGCCUUAGGGUUGUAAAGCUCUUUCAGCGGGGACGAUAAUGACGGUACCCGCAGAAGAAGCCCCGGCUAACUUCGUGCCAGCAGCCGCGGUAAUACGAAGGGGGCUAGCGUUGUUCGGAAUCACUGGGCGUAAAGGGCGCGUAGGCGGCUUUGUAAGUCGGGGGUGAAAGCCUGUGGCUCAACCACAGAAUUGCCUUCGAUACUGCAUGGCUUGAGACCGGAAGAGGUUAGUGGAACUGCGAGUGUAGAGGUGAAAUUCGUAGAUAUUCGCAAGAACACCAGUGGCGAAGGCGGCUGACUGGUCCGGUUCUGACGCUGAGGCGCGAAAGCGUGGGGAGCAAACAGGAUUAGAUACCCCGGUAGUCC
RNAcentral lists this ribosomal RNA (742 nucleotides) under uncultured Hyphomicrobiales bacterium. RNAcentral's name for it is "bacterial SSU rRNA". It matches the Rfam family "Bacterial small subunit ribosomal RNA", at positions 8 to 796 of the family's 1533-position model. The record is from RNAcentral. Lineage: Bacteria; Pseudomonadati; Pseudomonadota; Alphaproteobacteria; Hyphomicrobiales.